CACGCUUACUAAGCGUGGGAAAAUAACCACACUUUUAUGCGUGGGUAAGAGCAAAUGUAAAAGCAAAAACUUAAAUCCUUAACUGCUAUUUUCACGCCUUGUCCUCAAUGUCAUUGCUGCUCCCUCAUCUUUCCACACUCCUAUAUCUCUAUUUUCCCUUUGUGCGAAAUAAUCGAGCGAAAUUAUCCCCGAUCUUCACCUCCUUCUUCCUUAUUUUUUUCCCACAUUAUUUUUCGUUGCGUUCAACCCUAAUUUGAGGUUCUGAUUGCGAAAUUAUGGAGCAAAGAAACUUAGAAUCAGGUAAUGAAAAUGGAAACCAAUCGAAGAUUCUUGCAAAUCAUCUUUGCUAAGGUUUGAAUUUAUUCUCUUUCUGUUCAAUUUUGCUGUUAAACCCUCCUCUUUCUGUUCAAUUUUGCUGUUAAAUCCUAAUUUUUAUCAAGGGUUUUGCUACUUUUUUCAAGUGGGUGUUCAAAUUGAGAGGAAAUUAAGUUUGUUGUUUCAUAGAACCCUAUUGAUAUUUCAGGUUCAGAUUGACUCAAAUUGUUUCUUCACAAUAUGUUUGUUGAUUCAUGGAACCCUAUUGAUAUUUGUACGUGAAACAAAGGAAAACAAGGAGAGUUUGUAUGCAAAGACUAUUGUUCAGAUCAAUCAGUAAUUGGUUUUUAAACAUGGGUUUUAAUUUUUAGGGUUUGAAGGAGUCUCCCCUUUCUUUUACUAUCCUUUCAUUGACUAUAGUGAACAGUUAUGGCUUUGCUUAUUCACACAAGGUCCAGAGAAAAAGAAUUCAAAAGGUUUUGAAGGAUUAAUCCGAUCUACUUGGCUCGGUCUCUUUUGUGAGGCUUUUGUGCAGUUGAAGUCAUGUUCAUGAUUCCAAGCGUCCACUGUUCUUUUACGUUUUGUACCAAGAUCAUUAUUGAUUCUUUUGGUUGAAUGGAUAAUUGUUUCUCUGUGAUAGUUUAUCACUAUGUAGCCUUCCCUAACGAUUCAUUUUAAUUGUAAAACAAUCUGCUCAUGUGCUGCAAUUUGCUUUCAAUGAGGUUGGAGCUGCGUCCUCCUGUGCUGCUGUGAGCAGUUUCACAAUGAAGUGUGGGUAUGCACUAUUAUUUUUAAAGUGUUUUUGGGAGCUAGAAAUAAAAAAUUAUGCUCAUAUUUACCCGAUUUGGUCAGGUUUGCGUUGGCCCUUUAUUCUCUGCUAUUGUGCUCAGUUUCGUUAUCAAGUACAUUUAGAUAAUCAAUAAUGUGGGCUAUUAACUGUUUACAGUAAGUUUUGUGAUUUGAACAUCAAUUGUAAAAUAUAAACCUACAUAUUGAAGUGACUAGAAUAGUUGGGCUGUUAUCUAUCAAAAUUAGUUUUGAAAGAUAGGAAAACAUAACAUGUCAUCAAUUAAGAGUUGUAGGCCACCUUUGUCACCAUUAGUAGGGUUAAUUGUGGUGCCUUCCUCAUCAGCUUCCAUUGAGUACAUUCGUUCUGAGUGGUUAAGAGCAUGCCCUGCAUCAGGAUUUACAUGGCUAGUUAAGUAAAGUCUCAAACAGAAGGUAGAGAAUAGAGAUGAUAACUAAAUGCAACACUAGAAUUUUGUUGUUUAGCCUAGGGGCUAGGAGUAUGUUGUGCUUUCAAUUAUGAUUAGAAACAUCCUUGAUGAUAUUCCUUAAUUUUCAGGAAUCAAGAUCUUAAAACAAACGUAUUUGAGGCCAUUGGUGUUGUUGACACCAUGCUUAGAAACUGAAUUACAGAUUCAUUCUUCUACUGUUGUGCUUACUUCAUCCAACGAAUGUCAUCUUGUAUGUUCUCUUAGAUACACCCGGUUUCUUGGUGGCUUGCUUUUGGAAUAUGUUUCUAACAUAAACUCCAGAACAAACUUAAAUUGUUGCAGCCUGCAGGCAAUGAGCGAGAGCAAAGGAGCUAAUGUACAAAUGCUAGAUAAGUUGUGCGUCAAAUUACAAAGUGGCCACCAAGGAACGUGUACAACAAUCACAAGUACUAGAUACAAGCAUUCAAAAGCAGUUAUAAAUGAAGACGUUUUACAUUAGUUUUUAGUUUUGUAUUGUAAAAUCAUGACAACAAUAUUUUUAGAUAUUUUAUUUGUUACGAUUGACAAUUUGUGAACUUAAUAUAUAUUUAUAUAUAUUUAUGUUUUGAAAUGAAAACAUAUGCAUUAUCUAUAUUUGGACUCCAUUUUUUUAAUUAUUGAUAUUAAUUUAUU
Molecule: long non-coding RNA, 2204 nt
Organism: Amaranthus tricolor (Joseph's coat)
Lineage: Eukaryota; Viridiplantae; Streptophyta; Magnoliopsida; Caryophyllales; Amaranthaceae
Exons: 3
Source: RefSeq, a predicted model, not a curated record